RNAcentral lists this long non-coding RNA (2015 nucleotides) under Equus asinus (donkey). Its description in RNAcentral is "lncRNA (ENSEASG00005029177.1)". The record is from RNAcentral. Lineage: Eukaryota; Metazoa; Chordata; Mammalia; Perissodactyla; Equidae.
GCGUUAGAUGAGAUGACUGCUAGACGGGAAGACAUCAGUAGAAAACAUCUAGACUCAAGUACAGAGAGAAGAAUGGAUGGAACGUGGGGAAGGGCACAUGAGAGAUGUGAGCUAUUGGGAGGUCUGACACCGGUCGCUGAGUCCUGGAGGAACAGCAAGAAUGAGCAGAGGCGAGGGGAGAGAGAGGACGUGCAGGGCUUUCCUACACUGACAGCGGACAACCCCCAUCGCUGUGAGAAUCUCUGGACCCCAAGCAGGAUAAAUUAGAAGUAACAAACUUGAAACCUCCACCUCAGCACAUCACAGUGAAGUGCUGAAAACCGAAGACAGGAGAUCUGAGAAGCAGAGGAAGAAAGACACUCUCACCUUCAGAGGGACAAUCAGCUGGCAGCUGAUGCUAACAGAAGCAGUGGAAGGCCUAACAGUAGAGUGGCGCCUAUAAAGUGCUGAAAGAAGAUAAUUGCCAAUCAAAUUUAUAUGCUCAGUAAAGAUUCCUCAAAAAUGAGCAUGAAAUGACGUUUUCAGACAAAACAAAACUGAAGGAAUUUGUCACCAUCACACCUUCCCUAAAAAUACACCCUGAGGGAGUUCUCCAGACAGAAGGAAAACAGUCCCAGACGGAAGUAUGAUGGUGCAAGAAGGAAGGAGGAACAUUUCUGAGAAGGUUUCCAAAUGGCUGCCACAGACCCAUGAGUGGGAACAUCUGUGGCUACAGCUCCUCCUCAGGAGUGAAAGCUUUUCCAGAGCAGCCCAGCACACACCUGUCUGGCUGCAAUGGGUCCCAGAGGACAUCGCCAGCAUAUUCCUGAGGAGAGGUCACAUGACCCCGUCCUGCUGGGCUCACGGCCCCUGAUGCAGGUCUGGGUCACCUCUGGACCCUCCGUCCACUCUGUCCUGUUUGUCCCUCUGCCUCGCACAGUGCCCUGACUUUGAAAGCACUGCAGUUCAGCUGAAUCACUAGGACCGAGCCUGCAGUGAAGACGGCACAGAAGUGUCAGUGGCUGACAAGACAGCGAGGAAGUCGGGGCCACCUGACCAGCACGGAAUGCUACCGCCAGGGCCACCUUCCCUCCAUCCUCUGAGUUUUGAAGAAGCCAUCGUGUUCAACCUGUUCUAAUGGAAGUUCCUGUGCAUAGCUAGGUUUAAUGAAAACUGUAUAUGAGCUGGUUUUCAUAAUAUCUGGAGUAUCCAAACUAGUUUUUAAAAAUAAUUUUGUCAUAAAACAAUCUCAAUCUUGCAGGAUUGUUGCAAGUAUAAUACAAAGAACCUUCUUCCUGAAUCACUUGUGAGUGGCCGGCUCAAGGCCCCAUGACCCCCGCAAGCCUGCACACCAGAGCAUUUCUGUGACCGCAGCAGAGCCACCACAACCAGGGGACUCAUCUCGACAGGUCAGCCCCUCAGGAAGGUUUGUGGGGAGGAAGCAGACGGCAGGGAGAGCCUCAGACCACAAUGCAGACCUGAGGGUGCCGUCAGAGAGUCCACGUAGACCCCAGGCCCCUGCCCGCUGCAGCUGGAGGCCCUCAGUCACUUCUGCUUCACACAGGACAGCCCAGGCACUCGUCCAAGGAGUGCCAGAUGUGGCAGCAAUGCAACAACGGAUCCAGCCCUGCAGCUUAUGUCACAUUUAGUUGACAUGCCCCUUCAGUUCCCUUCAGUCUGGAACAUUCCUCAGUGUUCCGUGACCUCGGCACUCAUGCAAACAGGCUGUUCAUUCUGUGGAGUGUCCCUCAGGCGGGGCUUAUGUGGUGCUUCCUCAUGAUGAGAUUCAGGUCAUGCGUCACGUAAGUGACGCUCAUUCUCAUCGCCGUGUCCGCCAUGCGGCACAUGGGGUCAACCUGUGCUACCACUGCUGACGUUCUUUUCAAUUGCUUGGGGAAGGUGGCUCCACCAGGCGUCUCACUGCAAGUUACUUGUUACCCCUUUGUAAUUAAAAAGUACUUUGUGUGGAAGCUCUGAGACAAUGUAAACAUCCCAUUCCUUGUAACACUUUAUUCAUUUAUAUCACUGUGAACUCA